CCAUUGCUCAGUUGGUAAAGCACAAAGCUCUCAACCUUGUGAAUAUGGGUUCAAGCCCCAUGAUGGG
This is a non-coding RNA of Triticum aestivum (bread wheat), 67 nucleotides long. The record is from Rfam. Lineage: Eukaryota; Viridiplantae; Streptophyta; Magnoliopsida; Poales; Poaceae.